GUGGUAAUAGCAUUGGGGAUCACCUCUUCCCAUUCCGAACAGAGAAGUUAAGCCCAAUCGCGCCGAUGGUACUGCAGUAAAAUGUGGGAGAGUAGGUCGCCGCCUCCU
RNAcentral lists this ribosomal RNA (108 nucleotides) under Alistipes sp. Lineage: Bacteria; Pseudomonadati; Bacteroidota; Bacteroidia; Bacteroidales; Rikenellaceae. The record is from RNAcentral.